CUGGGCGUUAAGUUGCAGGGUAUAGACCCGAAACCCGGUGAUCUAGCCAUGGGCAGGUUGAAGGUUGGGUAACACUAACUGGAGGACCGAACCGACUAAUGUUGAAAAAUUAGCGGAUGACUUGUGGCUGGGGGUGAAAGGCCAAUCAAACCGGGAGAUAGCUGGUUCUCCCCGAAAGCUAUUUAGGUAGCGCCUCGUGAAUUCAUCUCCGGGGGUAGAGCACUGUUUCGGCAAGGGGGUCAUCCCGACUUACCAACCCGAUGCAAACUGCGAAUACCGGAGAAUGUUAUCACGGGAGACACACGGCGGGUGCUAACGUCCGUCGUGAAGAGGGAAACAACCCAGACCGCCAGCUAAGGUCCCAAAGUCAUGGUUAAGUGGGAAACGAUGUGGGAAGGCCCAGACAGCCAGGAUGUUGGCUUAGAAGCAGCCAUCAUUUAAAGAAAGCGUAAUAGCUCACUGGUCGAGUCGGCCUGCGCGGAAGAUGUAACGGGGCUAAACCAUGCACCGAAGCUGCGGCAGCGACGCUGAUGCGUUGUUGGGUAGGGGAGCGUUCUGUAAGCCUGUGAAGGUGUGCUGUGAGGCAUGCUGGAGGUAUCAGAAGUGCGAAUGCUGACAUAAGUAACGAUAAAGCGGGUGAAAAGCCCGCUCGCCGGAAGACCAAGGGUUCCUGUCCAACGUUAAUCGGGGCAGGGUGAGUCGACCCCUAAGGCGAGGCCGAAAGGCGUAGUCGAUGGGAAACAGGUUAAUAUUCCUGUACUUGGUGU
This 767-nucleotide ribosomal RNA is filed under the name Escherichia coli. RNAcentral's name for it is "partial 23S ribosomal RNA". It matches the Rfam family "Bacterial large subunit ribosomal RNA", at positions 688 to 1451 of the family's 2925-position model. The record is from RNAcentral. Lineage: Bacteria; Pseudomonadati; Pseudomonadota; Gammaproteobacteria; Enterobacterales; Enterobacteriaceae.